RNAcentral lists this ribosomal RNA (102 nucleotides) under Klebsiella pneumoniae subsp. pneumoniae KPNIH2. RNAcentral describes it as "partial 16S ribosomal RNA". Lineage: Bacteria; Pseudomonadati; Pseudomonadota; Gammaproteobacteria; Enterobacterales; Enterobacteriaceae. The record is from RNAcentral.
AAAUUGAAGAGUUUGAUCAUGGCUCAGAUUGAACGCUGGCGCAGGCCUAACACAUGCAAGUGAGCGGUAGCACAGAGAGCUUGCUCUCGGGUGACGAGCGGC